UAUGUAUUGCAUUAGGAUUACAAAUUGUAGGAACAACUGUACCUGUACCUCUUAACGAUAACAGUGAUUGUCAUGUUAAAUCAUUGUUUAAUGGAGAGGAUGUUACAAUUGAUAGUAUACAACAAAAACUUAAUGUCCUUAACACAGAACAAGACAUUGAAGAUUUUUGUAGAGUAUAUAUACUUUUUGCCUUCUUUGCAUUAUAUUUUCCUAAGAAAAGCAGGAAUGUCAC
This 232-nucleotide long non-coding RNA is filed under the name Trifolium pratense (red clover). Its description in RNAcentral is "long non-coding RNA (TPRA_LNC008981)". The record is from RNAcentral. Lineage: Eukaryota; Viridiplantae; Streptophyta; Magnoliopsida; Fabales; Fabaceae.